UUAGAGGAAGUAAAAGUCGUAACAAGGUUUCCGUAGGUGAACCUGCGGAAGGAUCAUUAAUGAAUAAAUUGGAACAGGUUGUAGCUGGCCCCCUCUCAGGGGGGCAUUGUGCACAUCUGGUUCAUCCACUCUUUAACCUCUGUGCACUUAUUUGUAGGUUGGUGGACAAGCAAGUCUUUUGAUUUGUUUAGAAACCUUCCUAUGUUUUUGCUACAAACGCUUUAGUCUAAGAAUGUAUACCUUGCGUAUAACGCAUUUAUAUACAACUUUCAGCAACGGAUCUCUUGGCUCUCGCAUCGAUGAAGAACGCAGCGAAAUGCGAUAAGUAAUGUGAAUUGCAGAAUUCAGUGAAUCAUCGAAUCUUUGAACGCACCUUGCGCUCUCUGGUAUUCCGGAGAGCAUGCCUGUUUGAGUGUCGUGGUAUUCUCUCAACCUUGAUAACUUUCUUUGUUAUUGAAGGCUUGGAUUUGGAGGCUGUGCUGGCUGGUCACUCAGUCAGCUUCUCUAAAAUGCAUUAGCAUAAGUGUGACAGACCACUUCGGUGUGAUAAAUUAUUUGCGCCGUGGUUGUGAAGUAACAUCUAGCUUGUGCUUCUAAUUGUCCUUCAGUUGGACAACUGACUUUUGACAUUUUGACCUCAAAUCAGGUAGGACUACCCGCUGAACUUAAGCAUAUCAAUAA
RNAcentral lists this ribosomal RNA (681 nucleotides) under Phanerochaete aurantiobadia. Its description in RNAcentral is "eukaryotic LSU rRNA". The stretch from base 265 to 418 matches the Rfam family "5.8S ribosomal RNA". Lineage: Eukaryota; Fungi; Basidiomycota; Agaricomycetes; Polyporales; Phanerochaetaceae. The record is from RNAcentral.